UACGGAGGUUCCUAGCGUUGUUCGGAAUUACUGGGCGUAAAGGGAGCGCAGGCGGAUUGAUAAGUCUAAAGUGGAAUCCCGGGGCUCAACCUCGGACGUGCUUUGGAUACUGUCAGUCUUGAGUUCGUGAGAGGAAGGCGGAAUUCAGGGUGUAGCGGUGAAAUGCUUAGAUAUCCUGAGGAACACCAGUGGCGAAAGCGGCCUUCUGGCACGAAACUGACGCUGAGGCUCGAAAGCGUGGGUAGCGAACGGG
RNAcentral lists this ribosomal RNA (253 nucleotides) under uncultured bacterium. RNAcentral describes it as "partial 16S ribosomal RNA". It matches the Rfam family "Bacterial small subunit ribosomal RNA", at positions 524 to 776 of the family's 1533-position model. The record is from RNAcentral. RNAcentral also lists the same sequence under 1 other name.